UAACAUCAAAUCGUACCCCAAACCGACACAGGUGGUCAGGUAGAGAAUACCAAGGCGCUUGAGAGAACUCGGGUGAAGGAACUAGGCAAAAUGGUGCCGUAACUUCGGGAGAAGGCACGCUGACACGUAGGUGAAGUGAUUUACUCAUGGAGCUGAAGUCAGUCGAAGAUACCAGCUGGCUGCAACUGUUUAUUAAAAACACAGCACUGUGCAAACACGAAAGUGGACGUAUACGGUGUGACGCCUGCCCGGUGCCGGAAGGUUAAUUGAUGGGGUCAGCGCAAGCGAAGCUCCUGAUCGAAGCCCCGGUAAACGGCGGCCGUAACUAUAACGGUCCUAAGGUAGCGAAAUUCCUUGUCGGGUAAGUUCCGACCUGCACGAAUGGCGUAAUGAUGGCCAGGCUGUCUCCACCCGAGACUCAGUGAAAUUGAACUCGCUGUGAAGAUGCAGUGUACCCGCGGCAAGACGGAAAGACCCCGUGAACCUUUACUAUAGCUUGACACUGAACAUUGAGCCUUGAUGUGUAGGAUAGGUGGGAGGCUUUGAAGUGUGGACGCCAGUCUGCAUGGAGCCGACCUUGAAAUACCACCCUUUAAUGUUUGAUGUUCUAACGUGGACCCGUAAUCCGGGUUGCGGACAGUGUCUGGUGGGUAGUUUGACUGGGGCGGUCUCCUCCUAAAGAGUAACGGAGGAGCACGAAGGUUGGCUAAUCCUGGUCGGACAUCAGGAGGUUAGUGCAAUGGCAUAAGCCAGCUUGACUGCGAGCGUGACGGCGCGAGCAGGUGCGAAAGCAGGUCAUAGUGAUCCGGUGGUUCUGAAUGGAAGGGCCAUCGCUCAACGGAUAAAAGGUACUCCGGGGAUAACAGGCUGAUACCGCCCAAGAGUUCAUAUCGACGGCGGUGUUUGGCACCUCGAUGUCGGCUCAUCACAUCCUGGGGCUGAAGUAGGUCCCAAGGGUAUGGCUGUUCGCCAUUUAAAGUGGUACGCGAGCUGGGUUUAGAACGUCGUGAGACAGUUCGGUCCCUAUCUGCCGUGGGCGCUGGAGAACUGAGGGGGGCUGCUCCUAGUACGAGAGGACCGGAGUGGACGCAUCACUGGUGUUCGGGUUGUCAUGCCAAUGGCACUGCCCGGUAGCUAAAUGCGGAAGAGAUAAGUGCUGAAAGCAUCUAAGCACGAAACUUGCCCCGAGAUGAGUUCUCCCUGAGACUUAGAGUCUCCUGAAGGAACGUUGAAGACGACGACGUUGAUAGGCCGGGUGUGUAAGCGCAGCGAUGCGUUGAGCUAACCGGUACUAAUGAACCGUGAGGCUUAACCUUACAACGCCGAAG
Molecule: ribosomal RNA, 1328 nt
Filed under: Salmonella enterica subsp. enterica serovar Senftenberg
Lineage: Bacteria; Pseudomonadati; Pseudomonadota; Gammaproteobacteria; Enterobacterales; Enterobacteriaceae
Also listed under: 1 other name
Description: partial 23S ribosomal RNA
Rfam family: Bacterial large subunit ribosomal RNA
Source: RNAcentral